AGACACCGUCUCCCCCCACGCUUUAUGGCCUGGUCUCCUCCUGUCUGGAGCACAACACCGGUUCUGUGAUCUUUGGUUGUUUGGUGAUGGACUAUUCCCCUGACGUCACCAAGUUAACCUGGAAGAAAGGUGGGGAGCUAAUCACGACUGGAUUGAAGACUUACCCAUCAGUGAGAAACAAGAAGGGAACCUACACCCUGAGCAGCCAGUUAACCCUGUCCGGGUCAGCGGUAGAUUGCUCCAGCAAAAUCUCUUGUGAGGUUCAACACAGCGGGACACACAAGAGCAAAGUAAUGCCAUGUCCAGGUACAGGUCCUCUCCGACCAACCCUUCUCCUAACUGUGAGCUCCAGUGAAGAAAUCGCAAGCAGCAAGUUUGCAAAAGUCGUCUGUUCAAUCAUCGAGUUCCAUCCGAAGUCCAUCUCCGUGAGUUGGUUGAAAAAUGGCCGACCCUUGGAUUCUGGCUUCUUCACGUCUCCCGUGUGUGAGGCGGACGGGAACUUCUCGGUGACGAGUCGGCUGAUGGUCCCUUAUGGUGAAUGGAGUAAUCUGAAGAUUGGCUGUUUGUAUCAGAAAGGGGCAUUUUUCAUUGACUUUGAUUUUUGUUUCAUAGAAGAUACCGAAUGCCACCCUAACACCGUUAAAAUCCUCCCACCGCCAGUAGAACAGGUCUUACUGGAGGCGACGGUGACAUUAACCUGCGUUGUGUCCAAUCUUCCUUCUGGAGUCAAUGUCACCUGGAGACAAGAAAAGAAGCCUCUGAAAUCGGAGAUUGCUGAGCAGCCUGGACAGAAUCCCGACAGCGUGAUCAGCAAAUUAGACAUUUCUACUGAAGCCUGGCUGAGUGGCGUUACUUUUGAAUGUGUGGUGUACCAUCAGAAUCUACCGACUCCGCUGAGAGACUCCAUCCACAAGGAGAAAGUGAUUAAUCCGCUGGAGCAAUCAGUGUCGGUCCUCCUGCCACCAACAGAAGAAAUCUCCGCUCAGAGGUUUCUCUCCCUCAUCUGUUUAGUGAGAGGUUUCUCCCCCCGAGAGAUCUUCGUCAAGUGGACAAACAAUGACAAGCCGGUGAAUCCCAGUAACUACAAGAACACCGAGGUGAUGGCGGAGAGUGACAACACCUCCUUCUUCAUCUACAGCCUGUUAUCCAUUACAGCGGAGGAGUGGGCCAGCGGUGCUUCUUACUCCUGUGUGGUGGGACAUGAAGCGAUUCCAUUGAAGAUCAUCAACGGAACAGUCGAUAAAUCCAGCGGUAAACCGAGUUUUGUAAACAUUUCACUUGCACUGAUGGACACAGUUAAUUCAUGUCAAUAAAAAAUCUCAAAGUUGCAUUUAAUAAUUCAA
Molecule: non-coding RNA, 1343 nt
Organism: Chiloscyllium plagiosum (whitespotted bambooshark)
Lineage: Eukaryota; Metazoa; Chordata; Chondrichthyes; Orectolobiformes; Hemiscylliidae
Source: the annotation of a RefSeq genome assembly